RNAcentral lists this ribosomal RNA (253 nucleotides) under uncultured bacterium. Its description in RNAcentral is "partial 16S ribosomal RNA". It matches the Rfam family "Bacterial small subunit ribosomal RNA", at positions 524 to 776 of the family's 1533-position model. The record is from RNAcentral.
UACGUAGGUGGCAAGCGUUAUCCGGAUUUACUGGGUGUAAAGGGCGUGUAGGCGGGGACGCAAGUCAGAUGUGAAAACCACGGGCUCAACCUGUGGCCUGCAUUUGAAACUGUGUUUCUUGAGUACUGGAGAGGCAGACGGAAUUCCUAGUGUAGCGAUGAAAUGCGUAGAUAUUAGGAGGAACACCAGUGGCGAAGGCGGCCUACUGGACGGUGACUGACGCUGAGGCUCGAAAGCGUGGGGAGCAAACAGG